UACGAAGGGGGCUAGCGUUGCUCGGAAUUACUGGGCGUAAAGGGCGCGUAGGCGGCACUGUUAGUCAGGCGUGAAAGUCCUGGGCUCAACCUGGGAACUGCGCUUGAGACUGGCAUGCUCGAGUUCGGGAGAGGAUGGUGGAAUUCCCAGUGUAGAGGUGAAAUUCGUAGAUAUUGGGAAGAACACCGAUGGCGAAGGCAGCCAUCUGGACCGACACUGACGCUGAGGAGCGAAAGCGUGGGGAGCGAACAGG
Molecule: ribosomal RNA, 253 nt
Filed under: uncultured bacterium
Lineage: Bacteria
Description: partial 16S ribosomal RNA
Rfam family: Bacterial small subunit ribosomal RNA
Source: RNAcentral